UUGUAGGUUAAAAAAUGUAACAAGGUCUCCGUUGGUGAACCAGCGGAGGGAUCAUUGCUGGAAUAAACGCCCUCACGGGUGCUACCCAGAAACCCUUUGUGAAUUAUACCAAACUGUUGCCUCGGCAUUAGCUGAAUCUUUUCAAGGGAUUCCCUUUUUUCUUCGGAGAAAGGAGCAGGCUGGCCGGUGGCCCUAUAAACUCUUAUUGUUAAAAUAGUACUCUGAGUAAAACAACUAUAAAUGAAUCAAAACUUUCAACAACGGAUCUCUUGGUUCUGGCAUCGAUGAAGAACGCAGCGAAAUGCGAUAAGUAAUGUGAAUUGCAGAAUUCAGUGAAUCAUCGAAUCUUUGAACGCACAUUGCGCCCGCUGGUAUUCCAGCGGGCAUGCCUGUUCGAGCGUCAUUUCAACCCUCAAAGCUUCGUCUUUGGUGUUGGGGCUUUACCCGUCAAAGGGUAUGCCCUGAAAUACAGUGGCGGGCUCGCUAGAAUUUUGAGCGUAGUAAUUUAUACCUCGUUUGUAAAGACUAGUGGGACUUCUAGCCAGAAAACUCCCCCCAUUUUUGAAAAAUUGACCUCGGAUCAGGUAGAUGGACGAUC
RNAcentral lists this ribosomal RNA (598 nucleotides) under fungal endophyte sp. B12-3243. RNAcentral describes it as "eukaryotic LSU rRNA". The stretch from base 250 to 403 matches the Rfam family "5.8S ribosomal RNA". Lineage: Eukaryota; Fungi. The record is from RNAcentral.